GUCCGCCAAACAAAGACAGCACGAGCUGAAAUGAGUGAACUGUUGACUAGCUUGUUGUCAAAGACGGAUACAUUAACUGCCACCGUACCAGUGACUGUUCCAGGAAUGAAGCUAUUAGCUAGGCAGCUCAUGGCUUCCUCACAUACUGAACUGAACUCCCUAUCAGCUUUAAUUACUUCUGCGGCUUGAUUUCUUAAACAUACAGUUGCUUAUAUACAGGAAAUGAUGAUUCUCGGUCAUGUAUAGAGCUGAAAGGAUUCUGGACUUCUCAAGGACAAGAUGAUCCUCACCUCCUCAGGUUAUACAAUUCUUCUAUUUACAUAAUUUGGCAUAUAGUGUAGAUGCUACUACAUUGAAACUUGAAGCAUUAAGAAUGGCAUUGGAGUUUAUGGGAUGCUAAUUUGAUACCGAGGUUGGAGUAGCUUAGUCAGGCAGCUGAGCAUCUUAUCUAAUUAUGUAUAUAUUGUAGAUGAGAAUCGCACCAGGCUACUUGUACUGCUCAUAUUGAAGCUUGAUGCAUUCAGAAUGGCAUCAGACUAUCAGAGUUUGAAAAUCUUUUGGUUAAUCACAUGGGCCGAUGAUGGAGCUGAGUCAAGAGCAUCUCUUCCAAGCGUCUGGACUUUAUUAGAGUUAUUGGGAAGAGGAUGGGGCAAAUGAGCAUGCAUCCAAUACUUGAUCGGAAGUCAAACUGCUAUUCGUCAAGUUCCCCAACUCUGAAAUUCACCCUCUCAGUCUACUUCACAAGUUUCCUGAACCAGCUCUGAGUAGAGAGGGUCUUGGGGAAGGAUGGAAAGGGUUUGUGUACUCUUUGCAAGAGGUUUAUGACAAGAAUGGUGCUUUGGAGAAGAUUCGGAGCUUGAAUGGUCACGAUGAUGGCAACUCGAUUUACGAAUCUGUUGUGUUGUUCCACAGCAGAGGUGAGGAAAGAGACGGAUGCCUAGUCGGAGAGAAGAUUUGCUCAGUUUAGGUAGGCAGUCUGAGUUUGGUAACUAGUUGCAUUAUGACUAGUGAGUAGUUGUAAUCACCUAUUGAUUUACUGUCAUUUUGAUCGACAUUUUAUGUAAUUACUCAGUAUUCAGUAUUCUACUUAUCAGGCUUUUGCAUGAAAUUACGUACUCAUCCCAACCUCGAGCA
Rosa rugosa (rugosa rose) is the source of this 1134-nucleotide long non-coding RNA. RefSeq lists it as uncharacterized. The transcript is spliced from 7 exons. The record is from RefSeq and is a predicted model, not a curated record. NCBI's taxonomy places the organism in Eukaryota, Viridiplantae, Streptophyta, Magnoliopsida, Rosales, Rosaceae.